Molecule: ribosomal RNA, 909 nt
Filed under: uncultured bacterium
Lineage: Bacteria
Description: bacterial SSU rRNA
Rfam family: Bacterial small subunit ribosomal RNA
Source: RNAcentral
ACGCUGGCGGCAUGCUUUACACAUGCAAGUCGGACGGCAGCACAGAGAAGCUUGCUUCUUGGGUGGCGAGUGGCGAACGGGUGAGUAACAUAUCGGAACGUACCGAGUAGUGGGGGAUAACUGAUCGAAAGAUCAGCUAAUACCGCAUACGUCUUGAGAGGGAAAGCAGGGGACCUUCGGGCCUUGCGCUAUUCGAGCGGCCGAUAUCUGAUUAGCUAGUUGGUGGGGUAAAGGCCUACCAAGGCGACGAUCAGUAGCGGGUCUGAGAGGAUGAUCCGCCACACUGGGACUGAGACACGGCCCAGACUCCUACGGGAGGCAGCAGUGGGGAAUUUUGGACAAUGGGCGCAAGCCUGAUCCAGCCAUGCCGCGUGUCUGAAGAAGGCCUUCGGGUUGUAAAGGACUUUUGUCAGGGAAGAAAAGGCUGUUGCUAAUAUCAGCGGCUGAUGACGGUACCUGAAGAAUAAGCACCGGCUAACUACGUGCCAGCAGCCGCGGUAAUACGUAGGGUGCGAGCGUUAAUCGGAAUUACUGGGCGUAAAGCGAGCGCAGACGGUUACUUAAGCAGGAUGUGAAAUCCCCGGGCUCAACCUGGGAACUGCGUUCUGAACUGGGUGACUAGAGUGUGUCAGAGGGAGGUAGAAUUCCACGUGUAGCAGUGAAAUGCGUAGAGAUGUGGAGGAAUACCGAUGGCGAAGGCAGCCUCCUGGGAUAACACUGACGUUCAUGCUCGAAAGCGUGGGUAGCAAACAGGAUUAGAUACCCUGGUAGUCCACGCCCUAAACGAUGUCAAUUAGCUGUUGGGCAACUUGGUUGUUCAGUAGCGUAGCUAACGCGUGAAAUUGACCGCCUGGGGAGUACGGUCGCAAGAUUAAAACUCAAAGGAAUUGACGGGGACCCGCACAAGCG